UCGGGAAUAUUGCGCAAUGGAGGAAACUCUGACGCAGUGACGCCGCGUGCAGGAAGAAGGUUUUCGGAUUGUAAACUGCUUUAGACAGGGAAGAACAAGGACAGUACCUGUAGAAUAAGCUCCGGCUAACUACGUGCCAGCAGCCGCGGUAAUACGUAGGGAGCAAGCGUUAUCCGGAUUUAUUGGGUGUAAAGGGUGCGUAGACGGGACGACAAGUUGGUUGUGAAAUCCCUCGGCUUAACUGAGGAACUGCAACCAAAACUAUCAUUCUUGAGUGCUGGAGAGGAAAGUGGAAUUCCUAGU
Molecule: ribosomal RNA, 303 nt
Filed under: uncultured bacterium
Lineage: Bacteria
Description: bacterial SSU rRNA
Rfam family: Bacterial small subunit ribosomal RNA
Source: RNAcentral